RNAcentral lists this ribosomal RNA (775 nucleotides) under uncultured Neocallimastigales. Its description in RNAcentral is "partial large subunit ribosomal RNA". It matches the Rfam family "Eukaryotic large subunit ribosomal RNA", at positions 15 to 616 of the family's 3401-position model. Lineage: Eukaryota; Fungi; Neocallimastigomycota; Neocallimastigomycetes; Neocallimastigales. The record is from RNAcentral.
GUCAGACGAUGCGUCAUGCAUAUCAAUAAGCGGAGGAAAAGAAACUAACAAGGAUUCCCCUAGUAACGGCGGGUGAAGCGGGAAGAGCUCAAAUUUGAAAUCUUAAAGGGUUUCCCUUUACGAAUUGUAGUUUAAAGAAGUGUUUUCUGUUGAGGUUUUGGUAAAAGUUCUUUGGAAUAGGACAUCAUAGAGGGUGAGAAUCCCGUAUUUGACCUUUACUUUCAACUUUGUGAUACACUUUCAAAGAGUCGGAUUGUUUGGGAAUGCAGUCCAAAAUGGGUGGUAAAUUUCAUCUAAAGCUAAAUAUUGGCGAGAGACCGACAGCGAACAAGUACCGUGGGGGAAAGAUGAAAAGAACUUUGAAAAGAGAGUUAAACAGUACGUGAAAUUGUCAAAAGGGAAGCGUUUGACACCAGUGUUGUUUUUCUGAAAAUCAAUUAAAGAACUGUUUAUGCUAAGUUGUUUAGACUUUAUCAGCUAACUGUUUAGUUUUGAGCUUUUCUUUAACGCACUUUUCAGUUAACAAGUCAACAUCAAUUUCUUUUGCUGUAAAAAAGCUUGAGGAAGGUGGCUUGAGAUUCGUCUUAAGUGUUUAUAGCCUCUUGCCUAUGCAGUCGGAGAGAUUGAGGUCUGCAGCGUAGAUCCUUCGGGGCUAAAUGCAUUUGUGCUAAGUUAUAGCAUUUUAUAGACAACUUGUUGACUAUGAUUUGUCUUGUAGCUUACCCGCUUAUGUUAUUUUACCUACGCUUAGGAUGUUGAGCGCAUGUCUCUCUCU